This 1156-nucleotide long non-coding RNA is filed under the name Citrus sinensis (sweet orange). Its description in RNAcentral is "long non-coding RNA (CSIN_LNC004854)". Lineage: Eukaryota; Viridiplantae; Streptophyta; Magnoliopsida; Sapindales; Rutaceae. The record is from RNAcentral.
UAAAUUUUAUCGGAUGGCAAAAUCUACAGAUCAGAAUGCAGAUAAGAUCCGGAUGCGGAUAAUAUCUGCACGGAUUAUGAGCGAAUAUUACAUAUACUUGAUCCGCAAAAAUUAAAAUUUAACAAUUUAAAAAUAAGAUUAAAUAUUUACAAUUUUACAUUAUAUUGAAAAUUAAUGCAUUUAAUUAAAGUAAUUAAACUAAAAACCAUAAAUUCAUUCUUACUACUUGUUAAUUAAUUCAUCAAUUAAUCAGUCAAAUUUUUGUAAGUCGUCGUUGAGAUUCGGAGAAAUAAAGAGGAUUAAAACCGUUAAAUUCAAUCUUCAAAAUCAGCAGCAACAGCAAUAGCAUGCCAACGGUGGCUACUUGUCUCCGUUCAAAUUAGCCAAGUUGUUAGAUCCAGACGCAUCCUGGGAUAGGGAUCAAUCGGGAGAUGUGUUGCAUUGGAUUCGACAUGUGGUGGCUGUUGCUCUGAUUUUGUACGGCUUGUAAGACAGGAAAAAAAAAACCUAAUUAAAGAAUUGAAUUAAUUUGUAAGCCAAGGAAGAUUACAGAGAUGCAGCCAUGUGUAUUGUGUGGUGUGCUUAGCGAGCCAGAGAUGCAGCGGCGUGCCGGCGUUUGAUGACAGCAAGUGCGGUCAGUGAGGUGAGGCAGAGCAACUGGCGUUCAACGACAGCAAUGCGUGCCCAGCUCUGUGAGGCAACCGGCGUUCGAUGAUAACGACUGCAAGGCAGAUGGCAUUCGACGGUGAGGCAUUUGGGGUUGUUUUCGAUUUCAGCUGCAGCGGCUGCUUGUGAGCGGUGGGGAAGUCGUGAGUGCAUGCGAUUUUAGUUUUAGCUUUUAGGGUUGCUGGGACUAGUUUUUUUUUAGUUUAUAUAUUUUCCAACUGAAAAUUGAUUAAAUUAAUAAUUUAAUUAAAAAUCAGACGGAUCCGGAUAUCGGCUUUCUGGAUGCAAGCGCAUUCAGAUCCGGAUCCGGAUAUGUGCAUAUAGACUCUGGAUCCGAAUCUUUUGUAUCUUUGCGGAUGAUUCGGAUUUUUUUUUCAUCUCUAAUGACAACAAAGAUACGUAGGGUACAAAAUGUCCUUUUCAUUCAAAAGAUUUGAGCCAAUUAAUGAAUUUGUGUUUUUUUUCGAAUAUUUUCUAUUUUACGUCUUUC